This 77-nucleotide transfer RNA is filed under the name bacterium. Its description in RNAcentral is "tRNA-Arg". It matches the Rfam family "tRNA". From Rfam's summary of the family: Transfer RNA (tRNA) molecules are approximately 80 nucleotides in length. RNAcentral also lists the same sequence under 1 other name. The record is from RNAcentral.
GGCUCCGUAGCUCAGUGGAUUAGAGCAGCAGGUUUCUACCCUGUAGGUCGCAAGUUCGAAUCUUGCCGGGGUCACCA